RNAcentral lists this ribosomal RNA (2651 nucleotides) under Escherichia coli. Its description in RNAcentral is "partial 23S ribosomal RNA". It matches the Rfam family "Bacterial large subunit ribosomal RNA". The record is from RNAcentral. Lineage: Bacteria; Pseudomonadati; Pseudomonadota; Gammaproteobacteria; Enterobacterales; Enterobacteriaceae.
CACACUAUCAUUAACUGAAUCCAUAGGUUAAUGAGGCGAACCGGGGGAACUGAAACAUCUAAGUACCCCGAGGAAAAGAAAUCAACCGAGAUUCCCCCAGUAGCGGCGAGCGAACGGGGAGCAGCCCAGAGCCUGAAUCAGUGUGUGUGUUAGUGGAAGCGUCUGGAAAGGCGCGCGAUACAGGGUGACAGCCCCGUACACAAAAAUGCACAUACUGUGAGCUCGAUGAGUAGGGCGGGACACGUGGUAUCCUGUCUGAAUAUGGGGGGACCAUCCUCCAAGGCUAAAUACUCCUGACUGACCGAUAGUGAACCAGUACCGUGAGGGAAAGGCGAAAAGAACCCCGGCGAGGGGAGUGAAAAAGAACCUGAAACCGUGUACGUACAAGCAGUGGGAGCCUCUUUAUGGGGUGACUGCGUACCUUUUGUAUAAUGGGUCAGCGACUUAUAUUCUGUAGCAAGGUUAACCGAAUAGGGGAGCCGAAGGGAAACCGAGUCUUAACUGGGCGUUAAGUUGCAGGGUAUAGACCCGAAACCCGGUGAUCUAGCCAUGGGCAGGUUGAAGGUUGGGUAACACUAACUGGAGGACCGAACCGACUAAUGUUGAAAAAUUAGCGGAUGACUUGUGGCUGGGGGUGAAAGGCCAAUCAAACCGGGAGAUAGCUGGUUCUCCCCGAAAGCUAUUUAGGUAGCGCCUCGUGAAUUCAUCUCCGGGGGUAGAGCACUGUUUCGGCAAGGGGGUCAUCCCGACUUACCAACCCGAUGCAAACUGCGAAUACCGGAGAAUGUUAUCACGGGAGACACACGGCGGGUGCUAACGUCCGUCGUGAAGAGGGAAACAACCCAGACCGCCAGCUAAGGUCCCAAAGUCAUGGUUAAGUGGGAAACGAUGUGGGAAGGCCCAGACAGCCAGGAUGUUGGCUUAGAAGCAGCCAUCAUUUAAAGAAAGCGUAAUAGCUCACUGGUCGAGUCGGCCUGCGCGGAAGAUGUAACGGGGCUAAACCAUGCACCGAAGCUGCGGCAGCGACACUAUGUGUUGUUGGGUAGGGGAGCGUUCUGUAAGCCUGUGAAGGUGUGCUGUGAGGUAUGCUGGAGGUAUCAGAAGUGCGAAUGCUGACAUAAGUAACGAUAAAGCGGGUGAAAAGCCCGCUCGCCGGAAGACCAAGGGUUCCUGUCCAACGUUAAUCGGGGCAGGGUGAGUCGACCCCUAAGGCGAGGCCGAAAGGCGUAGUCGAUGGGAAACAGGUUAAUAUUCCUGUACUUGGUGUUACUGCGAAGGGGGGACGGAGAAGGCUAUGUUGGCCGGGCGACGGUUGUCCCGGUUUAAGCGUGUAGGCUGGUUUUCCAGGCAAAUCCGGAAAAUCAAGGCUGAGGCGUGAUGACGAGGCACUACGGUGCUGAAGUAACAAAUGCCCUGCUUCCAGGAAAAGCCUCUAAGCAUCAGGUAACAUCAAAUCGUACCCCAAACCGACACAGGUGGUCAGGUAGAGAAUACCAAGGCGCUUGAGAGAACUCGGGUGAAGGAACUAGGCAAAAUGGUGCCGUAACUUCGGGAGAAGGCACGCUGAUAUGUAGGUGAAGUCCCUUGCGGAUGGAGCUGAAAUCAGUCGAAGAUACCAGCUGGCUGCAACUGUUUAUUAAAAACACAGCACUGUGCAAACACGAAAGUGGACGUAUACGGUGUGACGCCUGCCCGGUGCCGGAAGGUUAAUUGAUGGGGUUAGCGGUAACGCGAAGCUCUUGAUCGAAGCCCCGGUAAACGGCGGCCGUAACUAUAACGGUCCUAAGGUAGCGAAAUUCCUUGUCGGGUAAGUUCCGACCUGCACGAAUGGCGUAAUGAUGGCCAGGCUGUCUCCACCCGAGACUCAGUGAAAUUGAACUCGCUGUGAAGAUGCAGUGUACCCGCGGCAAGACGGAAAGACCCCGUGAACCUUUACUAUAGCUUGACACUGAACAUUGAGCCUUGAUGUGUAGGAUAGGUGGGAGGCUUUGAAGUGUGGACGCCAGUCUGCAUGGAGCCGACCUUGAAAUACCACCCUUUAAUGUUUGAUGUUCUAACGUUGGCCCCUGAUCGGGGUUGCGGACAGUGUCUGGUGGGUAGUUUGACUGGGGCGGUCUCCUCCUAAAGAGUAACGGAGGAGCACGAAGGUUGGCUAAUCCUGGUCGGACAUCAGGAGGUUAGUGCAAUGGCAUAAGCCAGCUUGACUGCGAGCGUGACGGCGCGAGCAGGUGCGAAAGCAGGUCAUAGUGAUCCGGUGGUUCUGAAUGGAAGGGCCAUCGCUCAACGGAUAAAAGGUACUCCGGGGAUAACAGGCUGAUACCGCCCAAGAGUUCAUAUCGACGGCGGUGUUUGGCACCUCGAUGUCGGCUCAUCACAUCCUGGGGCUGAAGUAGGUCCCAAGGGUAUGGCUGUUCGCCAUUUAAAGUGGUACGCGAGCUGGGUUUAGAACGUCGUGAGACAGUUCGGUCCCUAUCUGCCGUGGGCGCUGGAGAACUGAGGGGGGCUGCUCCUAGUACGAGAGGACCGGAGUGGACGCAUCACUGGUGUUCGGGUUGUCAUGCCAAUGGCACUGCCCGGUAGCUAAAUGCGGAAGAGAUAAGUGCUGAAAGCAUCUAAGCACGAAACUUGCCCCGAGAUGAGUUCUCCCUGAC